GGCAUCAUCGUCUAAUUGGAUAAGACACUGGAAACUAAAAAUUUUUUGAAAUCUAGAAAUGCGGGUUCAAAUCCUGACAAUGCCACCA
Molecule: transfer RNA, 88 nt
Filed under: Klebsiella pneumoniae
Lineage: Bacteria; Pseudomonadati; Pseudomonadota; Gammaproteobacteria; Enterobacterales; Enterobacteriaceae
Also listed under: 4 other names
Description: tRNA-Phe(aaa)
Source: RNAcentral